UGGGGAAUUUUGCACAAUGGGGGAAACCCUGAUGCAGCGACGCCGCGUGAUUUAGAAGGCCUUCGGGUUGUAAAAAUCUUUUGUAUAGGAAGAAAAUGACAGUACUAUACGAAUAAGGACCGGCUAAUUACGUGCCAGCAGCCGCGGUAAUACGUAAGGUCCGAGCGUUGUCCGGAAUCAUUGGGCGUAAAGGGUACGUAGGCGGUUAGAUAAGUCUGAAGUUAAAGGCAGUGGCUCAACCAUUGUAGGCUUUGGAAACUGUUUAACUUGAGUGCAGAAGGGGAGAGUGGAAUUCCAUGUGUAGCGGUGAAAUGCGUAGAUAUAUGGAGGAACACCGGUGGCGAAAGCGGCUCUCUGGUCUGUAACUGACGCUGAGGCUCGAAAGCGUGGGGAGCGAACAGG
This 402-nucleotide ribosomal RNA is filed under the name Bacteroidota bacterium. RNAcentral describes it as "Bacteroidetes bacterium partial 16S ribosomal RNA". It matches the Rfam family "Bacterial small subunit ribosomal RNA", at positions 355 to 776 of the family's 1533-position model. The record is from RNAcentral. Lineage: Bacteria; Pseudomonadati; Bacteroidota.